This is a long non-coding RNA of Syngnathoides biaculeatus (alligator pipefish), 766 nucleotides long. RefSeq lists it as uncharacterized. The record is from RefSeq and is a predicted model, not a curated record. Lineage: Eukaryota; Metazoa; Chordata; Actinopteri; Syngnathiformes; Syngnathidae. The transcript has 3 exons.
GGGAUUAAAUCCAAAUCUGAGGCACAUUGUUGGGAUUGUAACAGAAGGGAAGUCAAUGGUGGGAUUAAAGAUUAAAUUACGUUCAGUAACUGUGCACACACACAAUUAAACGCUAAAAGUGGUUAAAGCUGCAACAUGCUACUUCCUGCGACAAAGCAUUCAGAGGAGACAGAAGAUGGCCGCCCUCCAACCGUGGCCUCCGCUGCCAACUCACUCGCGCUCCGCAAAAUGUGCCAACUCCUCCAACACUUUGAUGGCACUCGUGCGAGGCGCAGCGGGACGCCGUCAUCUGACGGGACCUGGCUGGACCGCGCCGACCCGCUAAUUAGUCUGAUGCGACGGACAAAAAGCUUCAGCAAAGCACAGUGGAAGAAGAAGCAGAAGAAGAAGAUUUUUUAGUCUUUAAAUUACAUAAGAAUCUUGGUUCGAUAUGGCUUUGGGCUACUUUUUUUUCACAUAGAAUCGCUUCAAUUCAUCUAGAAAGGCUGUCCACGACGUUUCGAGGUGUCUUUCUGGAAAUUUUGGACCAUCCUUCCAGAACCGCAUUUGUGAGGUCGCACGCUGGUGUUGGACAACCAAGGUCUCCCACCGGGUUGAUGUCAGGACUUUCUGCAGGCCAGCCAUGUUUAUCCACACCACACUCUGUCAUCCAUGUCUUUAAAAUGAUAGGUGGCACUUUAAGAUACGAGUUCAAUUCGUUCAGUGGCCAUUCAAAAUUAACUCUUAUCUCAAAUCAUCUUUCCUCACUGAAAUUAAAUGGGUAUAA